This 497-nucleotide ribosomal RNA is filed under the name uncultured bacterium. RNAcentral describes it as "partial 16S ribosomal RNA". It matches the Rfam family "Bacterial small subunit ribosomal RNA", at positions 28 to 507 of the family's 1533-position model. The record is from RNAcentral.
GACGAACGCUGGCGGCGUGCCUAAUACAUGCAAGUUGAGCGCUGAAGGUUGGUACUUGUACCAACUGGAUGAGCAGCGAACGGGUGAGUAACGCGUGGGGAAUCUGCCUUUGAGCGGGGGACAACAUUUGGAAACGAAUGCUAAUACCGCAUAAAAACUUUAAACACAAGUUUUAAGUUUGAAAGAUGCAAUUGCAUCACUCAAAGAUGAUCCCGCGUUGUAUUAGCUAGCUGGUGAGGUAAAGGCUCACCAAGGCGAUGAUACAUAGCCGACCUGAGAGGGUGAUCGGCCACAUUGGGACUGAGACACGGCCCAAACUCCUACGGGAGGCAGCAGUAGGGAAUCUUCGGCAAUGGACGAAAGUCUGACCGAGCAACGCCGCGUGAGUGAAGAAGGGUUUCGGAUCGUAAAACUCUGUUGGUAGAGAAGAACGUUGGUGAGAGUGGAAAGCUCAUCAAGUGACGGUAACUACACAGAAAGGGACGGCUAACUACGUG